CUCUGUGACUCCUACGGGAGGCAGCAGUGGGGAAUAUUGCACAAUGGGCGCAAGCCUGAUGCAGCCAUGCCGCGUGUGUGAAGAAGGCCUUCGGGUUGUAAAGCACUUUCAGUUGUGAGGAAGGUGGUGUCGUUAAUAGCGGCAUCAUUUGACGUUAGCAACAGAAGAAGCACCGGCUAACUCCGUGCCAGCAGCCGCGGUAAUACGGAGGGUGCGAGCGUUAAUCGGAAUUACUGGGCGUAAAGCGCAUGCAGGUGGUUUGUUAAGUCAGAUGUGAAAGCCCGGGGCUCAACCUACGGAACUGCUAUUUAGAAACUGGCAGACUAGAGUACUGUAGAGGGGGUAGAAUUUCAGGUGUAGCGGUGAAAUGCGUAGAGAUCUGAAGGAAUACCGGUGGCGAAGGCGGCCCCCUGGACAGAUACUGACACUCAGAUGCGAAAGCGUGGGGAGCAAACAGGAUUAGAUACCCUGGUAG
RNAcentral lists this ribosomal RNA (475 nucleotides) under uncultured bacterium. RNAcentral's name for it is "bacterial SSU rRNA". It matches the Rfam family "Bacterial small subunit ribosomal RNA", at positions 328 to 793 of the family's 1533-position model. The record is from RNAcentral.